AGAAAGGUUAGUUUAAAUUUUGUAAAACAUUGUUUUGUCAAAACAAAAAUAUAUUAUUUAUACCUUUCUA
Molecule: transfer RNA, 70 nt
Filed under: Plerochila australis
Lineage: Eukaryota; Metazoa; Arthropoda; Insecta; Hemiptera; Tingidae
Description: tRNA-Asp
Source: RNAcentral